UACGUAGGGUGCAAGCGUUGUCCGGAAUUAUUGGGCGUAAAGAGCUCGUAGGCGGUCUGUCAUGUCGGCUGUGAAAUCCCGAGGCUCAACCUCGGGUCUGCAGUCGAUACGGGCAAACUAGAGUAUUGCAGGGGAGACUGGAAUUCCUGGUGUAGCGGUGAAAUGCGCAGAUAUCAGGAGGAACACCGGUGGCGAAGGCGGGUCUCUGGGCAAUAACUGACGCUGAGGAGCGAAAGCGUGGGGAGCGAACAGG
Molecule: ribosomal RNA, 253 nt
Filed under: uncultured bacterium
Lineage: Bacteria
Description: partial 16S ribosomal RNA
Rfam family: Bacterial small subunit ribosomal RNA
Source: RNAcentral